CUCUUUGAUCUCUUCCAAAAUUCCCAUAUCUUCCACAUCCUUGACAUUUUCAUAUAUAGCUUCUAGUCUCUACCCCGUAUGCAAGAGGUGCUGGAGUGUCAAGUAACUCAUUAAUCGUAUUCUCAUCGAACCAAAUAUCUUUCCCACGAACAUAUGACUUGAACAUAUCUUUUUUCUUUCUCUUUUGGUAUGCAUUCGAAUAAAAUUCAAUGGCAAGUGAACAAUUUCGCUCCUUUGCUAACCCAUUUAAUUUCAACCAAUUCCUCUUCUCAAGUGCUUCCUUAAUUCCCUCAAUGAGAUUUUUCUCAAGAGAGAAUGAUCUCUUUUCAACAAAGGGC
This 338-nucleotide long non-coding RNA is filed under the name Medicago truncatula (barrel medic). Its description in RNAcentral is "long non-coding RNA (MTRU_LNC003920)". The record is from RNAcentral. Lineage: Eukaryota; Viridiplantae; Streptophyta; Magnoliopsida; Fabales; Fabaceae.